GAUCAUGGCUCAGGAUGAACGCUGGCGGCGUGCUUAACACAUGCAAGUCGAACGGACUUAACUUGAAGCCUAGCGAUAGUUAAGUUAGUGGCGGACGGGUGAGUAACGCGUGGGUAACCUGCCUUAUACAGGGGGAUAACACUUAGAAAUAGGUGCUAAUACCGCAUAAGCGCACAGUUUCGCAUGAAACAGUGUGAAAAACUCCGGUGGUAUAAGAUGGACCCGCGUCUGAUUAGCUAGUUGGUGGGGUAACGGCCCACCAAGGCGACGAUCAGUAGCCGGUCUGAGAGGAUGAACGGCCACAUUGGGACUGAGACACGGCCCAAACUCCUACGGGAGGCAGCAGUGGGGAAUCUUCCGCAAUGGGCGCAAGCCUGACGGAGCAACGCCGCGUGAGUGAAGAAGGCUUUCGGAUCGUAAAGCUCUGUUGAGAGGGACGAGAGAUAUAAUCAGGAAAUGGGUUAUAGAGGACGGUACCUUUCGAGGAAGCCACGGCUAACUACGUG
RNAcentral lists this ribosomal RNA (506 nucleotides) under uncultured bacterium. RNAcentral describes it as "bacterial SSU rRNA". It matches the Rfam family "Bacterial small subunit ribosomal RNA", at positions 15 to 507 of the family's 1533-position model. The record is from RNAcentral.